UCAAAAAAAUUUUAUUGGAAAAUUCGCAAAAAAUAACUACUUUCGAUAAAAAAUUUAACUCAAAUUUUUAAAUUUAAUGUCCAAGCAAAAACCCAUAGGAUUUUUUUAGUUGAAUCUUUAGACUAACAAAAAAAAAUAGUACGAUAUGAAGCGCUCAAAAAAAGUACAAUUAUUUAAACUAUCGAAAAUCAACAUUUUUGAAAAAUUUAUACAUAUUAUUAUAAAAUGAUUAUGUGUUUCAUUAUGUAUUUCUCCGUGUCCAGAUCCAUUCGUGAAAUACCAAUGUUUCGUUAACCUUGUAAUCCCCUUCAUCAAGGCGAGCAAUAGCCUAAUACUGAGUUGUUCCUCCGAGCCGUUCCUUUUAUAUUGCACUGCGUGAAUGGAUUAACGAGAUUCCCGCUGUCCCUAUCUACUAUCUAGCGAAAUCACUGCCAAGGGAACGGGCUUGGAAAAAUUAGCGGGGAAAGAAGACCCUGUUGAGCUUGACUCUAGUCUGGCACUGUAAAGAGACAUGAGAGGUGUAGCAUAAGUGGGAGAUGGUAACAUCGCCAGUGAAAUAUCAUUACUUUCAUCGUUUCCUUACUUACUCGGUUUGGCGGAGCGCGUGCCCCGAGGGCUUCGUGCCCCGGCGGUGUUCUAGAGCCAAGCGUAUCAGAAUGGCCUCGGCCAAUCGCCGAUGAUACUCCCGCGUGAUCCGAUUCGAGGACACUGCCAGGCGGGGAGUUUGACUGGGGCAGUACAUCUGUCAAAGAUAACGCAGGUGUCCUAAGGCCAGCUUAGCGAGGACAGAAACCUCUCAUAGAGCAAAAGGGCAAAAGCUGACUUGAUCUCGAUGUUCAGUACGCAUAGAGACUGCGAAAGCAGUGGGAGAGAAGAAGAGAAAUGAGGGGUGUGAGUGGAGGGGGGAGGGUGAAACAUGGGGAAAAUUGAUUGGUCUUCAAUAACCGAAAGAAUGGUUUCCAUAUUUUAUUUAUAUUAUUAUUGUAGCCAUUAUUUCUAUUUAAAUUGUUAGGGUGUUUUUUCUCUAUAGCUUCUCUAUACUUUCUUAGAAAGUAAUGUUGGUUAUUAUGAUCGUUUUGUCAAACAGUAUUUGAUGUCUCGUAUAGAUAUUGUGUUCUGAUGUCGACUGCGUGACGUAUUUUAGCCUGACAUCACGUUAAUGUUCUUUUGUCCGUAGGUUCUGCGGUUUUUCCAAUGUAUACUUGCCCGC
Molecule: non-coding RNA, 1210 nt
Filed under: Acromyrmex echinatior (Panamanian leafcutter ant)
Lineage: Eukaryota; Metazoa; Arthropoda; Insecta; Hymenoptera; Formicidae
Description: Eukaryotic large subunit ribosomal RNA
Rfam family: Eukaryotic large subunit ribosomal RNA (bases 1-991)
Source: Rfam by way of RNAcentral